This 409-nucleotide ribosomal RNA is filed under the name uncultured bacterium. RNAcentral describes it as "bacterial SSU rRNA". It matches the Rfam family "Bacterial small subunit ribosomal RNA", at positions 509 to 916 of the family's 1533-position model. The record is from RNAcentral.
CAGCAGCCGCGGUAAUACGGGGGGUGCAAGCGUUAUUCGGAAUUAUUGGGCGUAAAGGGCGCGCAGGCGGUCUUGUCCGUCAGGUGUGAAAGCUCGGGGCUCAACCCCGGAAGUGCACUUGAAACAGCAAGACUUGAAUACGGGAGAGGAAAGCGGAAUUCCUGGUGUAGAGGUGAAAUUCGUAGAUAUCAGGAGGAACACCGAUGGCGAAGGCAGCUUUCUGGACCGAUAUUGACGCUGAGGCGCGAAGGCGUGGGUAGCAAACGGGAUUAGAUACCCCGGUAGUCCACGCAGUAAACGUUGUACACUCGGUGUAGCGGGUAUUAAAACCUGCUGUGCCCAAGCUAACGCAUUAAGUGUACCGCCUGGGAAGUACGGUCGCAAGACUAAAACUCAAAGGAAUUGACGG